CCUACGGGGGGCAGCAGUGAGGAAUAUUGGUCAAUGGGCGCGAGCCUGAACCAGCCAAGUAGCGUGAAGGAUGACUGCCCUACGGGUUGUAAACUUCUUUUAUAAAGGAAUAAAGUGAGGCACGUGUGCCUUUUUGUAUGUACUUUAUGAAUACGGAUCGGCUAACUCCGUGCCAGCAGCUGCGGUAAUACGGAGGAUGCGAGCGUUAUCCGGAUUUAUUGGGUUUAAAGGGUGCGUAGGCGGAUUUUUAAGUCAGCGGUAAAAGGUGCGGGCUCACCCCGGGCCGGCCGUUGAAACUGGGGAUCGUGAGUGGGCGAGAGGUAUGCGGAAUGCGUGGUGUAGCGGUGAAAUGCAUAGAUAGCACGCAGAACUCCGAUUGGGAAGGCAGCAGGCCGGCGCCCGACUGACGCUGAGGCACGAAAGCGUGGGGAUCGAACAGGAUUAGAUACCCGAGUAGUC
This 459-nucleotide ribosomal RNA is filed under the name uncultured bacterium. Its description in RNAcentral is "partial 16S ribosomal RNA". It matches the Rfam family "Bacterial small subunit ribosomal RNA", at positions 338 to 795 of the family's 1533-position model. The record is from RNAcentral.